AGGUGAUCCAACCGCAGGUUCCCCUACGGUUACCUUGUUACGACUUCACCCCAGUCAUGAAUCACAAAGUGGUAAGCGCCCUCCCGAAGGUUAAGCUACCUACUUCUUUUGCAACCCACUCCCAUGGUGUGACGGGCGGUGUGUACAAGGCCCGGGAACGUAUUCACCGUGGCAUUCUGAUCCACGAUUACUAGCGAUUCCGACUUCAUGGAGUCGAGUUGCAGACUCCAAUCCGGACUACGACGCACUUUAUGAGGUCCGCUUGCUCUCGCGAGGUCGCUUCUCUUUGUAUGCGCCAUUGUAGCACGUGUGUAGCCCUGGUCGUAAGGGCCAUGAUGACUUGACGUCAUCCCCACCUUCCUCCAGUUUAUCACUGGCAGUCUCCUUUGAGUUCCCGGCCGGACCGCUGGCAACAAAGGAUAAGGGUUGCGCUCGUUGCGGGACUUAACCCAACAUUUCACAACACGAGCUGACGACAGCCAUGCAGCACCUGUCUCACGGUUCCCGAAGGCACAUUCUCAUCUCUGAAAACUUCCGUGGAUGUCAAGACCAGGUAAGGUUCUUCGCGUUGCAUCGAAUUAAACCACAUGCUCCACCGCUUGUGCGGGCCCCCGUCAAUUCAUUUGAGUUUUAACCUUGCGGCCGUACUCCCCAGGCGGUCGACUUAACGCGUUAGCUCCGGAAGCCACGCCUCAAGGGCACAACCUCCAAGUCGACAUCGUUUACGGCGUGGACUACCAGGGUAUCUAAUCCUGUUUGCUCCCCACGCUUUCGCACCUGAGCGUCAGUCUUCGUCCAGGGGGCCGCCUUCGCCACCGGUAUUCCUCCAGAUCUCUACGCAUUUCACCGCUACACCUGGAAUUCUACCCCCCUCUACGAGACUCAAGCUUGCCAGUAUCAGAUGCAGUUCCCAGGUUGAGCCUGGGGAUUUCACAUCUGACUUAACAAACCGCCUGCGUGCGCUUUACGCCCAGUAAUUCCGAUUAACGCUUGCACCCUCCGUAUUACCGCGGCUGCUGGCACGGAGUUAGCCGGUGCUUCUUCUGCGGGUAACGUCAAUGAGCAAAGGUAUUAACUUUACUCCCUUCCUCCCCGCUGAAAGUACUUUACAACCCGAAGGCCUUCUUCAUACACGCGGCAUGGCUGCAUCAGGCUUGCGCCCAUUGUGCAAUAUUCCCCACUGCUGCCUCCCGUAGGAGUCUGGACCGUGUCUCAGUUCCAGUGUGACUGUUCAUCCUCUCAGACCAGCUAGGGAUCGUCGCCUAGGUGAGCCGUUACCCCACCUACUAGCUAAUCCCAUCUGGGCACAUCCGAUGGCAAGAGGCCAGAAGGUCCCCCUCUUUGGUCUUGCGACGUUAUGCGGUAUUAGCUACCGUUUCCAGUAGUUAUCCCCCUCCAUCAGGCAGUUUCCCAGACAUUACUCACCCGUCCGCCACUCGUCAGCGAAACAGCAAGCUGUUUCCUGUUACCGUUCGACUUGCAUGUGUUAGGCCUGCCGCCAGCGUUCAAUCUGAGCCAUGAUCAAACUCU
Molecule: ribosomal RNA, 1530 nt
Filed under: Shigella flexneri K-227
Lineage: Bacteria; Pseudomonadati; Pseudomonadota; Gammaproteobacteria; Enterobacterales; Enterobacteriaceae
Description: 16S ribosomal RNA
Source: RNAcentral